CAGUCGCCGCGGGAAUACGUAGGUGGCAAGCGUUGUCCGGAAUUAUUGGGCGUAAAGGCUCGCAGGCGGUUUCUUAAGUCUGAUGUGAAAGCCCCCGGCUCAACCGGGGAGGGUCAUUGGAAACUGGGAAACUUGAGUGCAGAAGAGGAGAGUGGAAUUCCACGUGUAGCGGUGAAAUGCGUAGAGAUGUGGAGGAACACCAGUGGCGAAGGCGACUCUCUGGUCUGUAACUGACGCUGAGGAGCGAAAGCGUGGGGAGCGAACAGGAUUAGAGACCCCCGUAGUCCCUGUCUCUUAUACC
RNAcentral lists this ribosomal RNA (301 nucleotides) under uncultured bacterium. RNAcentral describes it as "partial 16S ribosomal RNA". It matches the Rfam family "Bacterial small subunit ribosomal RNA", at positions 509 to 808 of the family's 1533-position model. The record is from RNAcentral.